AGAGUAGACGCAGGCGGUUGCAGAUCAGUCAUAGUUACUGAUUUGAGGAAAGUCCGGGCUCCCGAAAGACCAAACUUGCUGGAUAACGUCCAGUGCGAGCGAUCGUGAGGAUAGUGCCACAGAAAGAUACCGCCAGAUCAAUUAAAAAUUAAAAAUUAAAAAUGUAAAAUGAACAAUUUUUAAUUUUUAAUUUUACAUUUUUAAUUGAUCUGGUAAGGGUGCAAAGGUGCGGUAAGAGCGCACCAGCAGUAUCGAGAGGUGCUGGCUCGGUAAACCCCGGUUGGGAGCAAGGCGAUAGGAACUACGGUUGGUCUUUUACCAGUUCCGCUCAAUGAGAGCCGCUAGAGGCGUUUGGUAACAAGCGUCCCAGAUAGAUAACUGCCCUCGCAAGAGAACAGAACCCGGCUUAUGUACUGCUCUUUCC
RNAcentral lists this RNase P RNA (424 nucleotides) under Desmonostoc muscorum FACHB-395. RNAcentral describes it as "Nostoc muscorum FACHB-395 RNase P RNA component class A". It matches the Rfam family "Bacterial RNase P class A". Rfam says of the family: Ribonuclease P (RNase P) is a ubiquitous endoribonuclease, found in archaea, bacteria and eukarya as well as chloroplasts and mitochondria. Its best characterised activity is the generation of mature 5'-ends of tRNAs by cleaving the 5'-leader elements of precursor-tRNAs. The record is from RNAcentral. Lineage: Bacteria; Bacillati; Cyanobacteriota; Cyanophyceae; Nostocales; Nostocaceae.